GAUGAACGCUGGCGGCGUGCCUAAUACAUGCAAGUCGAGCGAACAGACGAGGAGCUUGCUCCUCUGACUUUAGCGGCGGACGGGUGAGUAACACGUGUAUAACCUACCUAUAAGACUGGGAUAACUUCGGGAAACCGUAGCUAAUACCGGAUAAUAUAUUGAACCGCAUGGUUCAAUAGUGAAAGACGGUUUUGCUGUCACUUAUAGAUUGAUCCGCGCCGCAUUAGUUAGUUGGUAAGGUAACGGCUUACCAAGGCGACGAUGCGUACCCGACCUGAGAGGGUGAUCGGCCACACUGGAACUGAGACACGGUCCAGACUCCUACGGGAGGCAGCAGUAGGGAAUCUUCCGCAAUGGGCGAAAGCCUGACGGAGCAACGCCGCGUGAGUGAUGAAGGUCUUCGGAUCGUAAAACUCUGUUAUUAGGGAAGAACAAAUGUGUAAGUAACUAUGCACGUCUUGACGGUACCUAAUCAGAAAGCCACGGCUAACUACGUG
Molecule: ribosomal RNA, 497 nt
Filed under: uncultured bacterium
Lineage: Bacteria
Description: partial 16S ribosomal RNA
Rfam family: Bacterial small subunit ribosomal RNA
Source: RNAcentral